GGCUACCGCUAUUGGAGUUCGAUUAAGCCAUGCGAGUCUAGAGGCCUAGCCUCGGCGUACCGCUCAGUAACACGUGGGUAACCUACCCUAUGCUGGGGAAUAAGCUCGGGAAACUGAGAAUAAUGCCCCAUAGUCCACUACGCCUGGAACGGUGAGUGGAUUAAAGCUCCGGCGGCACAGGAUGGGCCUGCGGCGUAUCAGGUUGUAGGGGGUGUAAUGUACCCUCUAGCCAUCCACGCGUACGGGUGUUGGGAGACAUUGCCCGGAGAUGGAUUCUGAGACACGAAUCCAGACCCUACGGGGUGCAGCAGGCGCGAAAACUUGGCAAUGCGAGAAAUCGUGACCAGGGAACUCCAAGUGGCAGGGGUAAGACCCUGUCUUUUUCCGACUCUAAAUAGGUCGGCGAAUAAGGGGUGGGUAAGGACGGUGCCAGCCGCCGCGGUAAUACCGGCGCCUCAAGUGGUAGUCGCUUUUAUUGGGCCUAAAACGUCCGUAGCCGGUCUGGUACAUUCGUGGGUAAAUCAACUCGCUCAACGAGUUGAAUUCUGCGAGGACGGCCAGACUUGGGACCGGGAGAGGUGUGGGGUACUCUCAGGGUAGGGGUAAAAUCCUGUCAUCCUGAGAGGACCACCUGUUGCGAAGGCUCCACACUAGAACGGAUCCGACGGUCAGGGACGAAGCCUAGGGGCACGAACCGGAUUAGAUACCCGGGUAGUCCUAGGUGUAAACGCUGUGGACUUGAUGUUGGGGACGCUCCGAGCGUUCUCAGUGUCGAAGCGAAGGUGAUAAGUCCACUGCCUGGGGAGUACGGUCGCAAGGCUGAAACUUAAAGGAGUUGGCGGGGGAGCACCGCAACCUGAGGAUUGUGCGGUUU
This 874-nucleotide ribosomal RNA is filed under the name uncultured archaeon. RNAcentral's name for it is "bacterial SSU rRNA". It matches the Rfam family "Archaeal small subunit ribosomal RNA", at positions 22 to 903 of the family's 1478-position model. The record is from RNAcentral.